This 211-nucleotide unclassified non-coding RNA is filed under the name Hevea brasiliensis (rubber tree). Lineage: Eukaryota; Viridiplantae; Streptophyta; Magnoliopsida; Malpighiales; Euphorbiaceae. The record is from RNAcentral.
AUUUGUUAAGAACAAAAUUACUUUUCAGUUUUGAAAACUAGAAACAUGUUCAUAUUGUAAUUGUUAUCUACAGUAAAGAGAGUUGGAAUGAUUAACCGUGAUAAUUUGUAUAACAAGUAUUGCCCUUUUAUCAUAGAAAGUUCCAUAAUUAAUUUUGUUAUAUAAUUUUUUUAAGUCAUAAUCAUUGCAAAGUAAAAGAUGAAAAUAAAAG